AACCUCCCAGAAUCCCGAAUUUUCCCAUUUUCACCCAAUUUUUCCUGUUCUUCCCUUUUCCCGCAGUCUGGGAUUGGCUCUGCAGUGUCCCCAACGUCCCCAAAUCCCGAUUUUCCUUACUUCCCCGAUUUUCCCAGUUUUUCCCAAUUUUUUUCCCAAUUUUUUUCCCAAUUUUUCCGUAUUUUCCCAUUUUUCUCCUCCUUGUAAGAAAGGCCCCAAAAUCGGGGCAUCCUCAAAUCCUCCCCAAAUGCCGUCCCAGGACCCCCCCAGAUGCCCCGGCCUCACUCCGGGGCUCCCCUCCAGGGAAUUUUGAGGCAAAAACCGAAAAAAAUGGGCAAAAACCCCCCUAGAAAGCAAAUCCCGCGAGAUUUGGGUUCCGCGCGAGAUUUCUCGCGGCCGCCAGGGGGCGCCAUCGCCGCUCGCGGUUCCCGCCAAAACGGUCCUGAGGUGAAAGGGGCGGAGCCAGCAAAAAAGGGGCGGAGAACACAGAAGAAAAAAGGCGGGGUCAACAGCAGGGGGCGGGGCGCACAGAGAAAGAGGCGGGGCCACACCGGAGGGGGCGUGGCCAACCGGAGGGCCUGGUUUUACCGGGGGUCGGCCGCCGGAAGUUUAGCGGCCCCUGGUGGAAGUGACGUAGGAGAGCUGAGGGGGUCCGAGCAGAGACGGGAAGGGGCGAAAAGUGACGGAAAGCGGGGUAAAGUGCCGGGAACGGCGGCGGGAAACGGCGAACGGGAGAGAAUCGGAACGGCGGCGGACAGCGACCGGAAAGGGAAAGCGCCGAGCGCGGCCGGAAAGCGCCGAGCGGAGGCGGAAAUUGGCGGAAAUACCCGAGCAGUGCCGGAAAUCAGCGAGCGCCAUCGGAAAAACCCGAGCGGUGACGGAAAGGCCCCGAAGCUGCGACGGAAAGCGCCGAGCGCGGCCCGAGCGGCGCCGGAAGUGGCCGAGCGCGGCCGGAAGUGGCCGAGCGCAGCCGAGCGCGGACGGAGCCGCCGCGGCCUGAGCGCGGCCCGGCAGAGGAGCGGGAGGCGGCACCGGGAGCGGCCCCGAGGCACCGCGAGGGCUCGGCCAGGGCUCGGCCAGCGCCGCCAUGUCCGACUUCGACGAGUUCGAGCGGCAGCUGAACGAGAACAAGCAAGGUACCGGCCCCGCCCCCCCCCCGCGCCUCACGGGGCGACCCCGGCGUGAGGGGAUCGGGGCGGGGGG
RNAcentral lists this long non-coding RNA (1203 nucleotides) under Junco hyemalis (dark-eyed junco). RNAcentral describes it as "lncRNA (ENSJHYG00000016047.1)". The record is from RNAcentral. Lineage: Eukaryota; Metazoa; Chordata; Aves; Passeriformes; Passerellidae.